UGGGGAAUCUUCCGCAAUGGGCGCAAGCCUGACGGAGCAACGCCGCGUGAGUGAAGAAGGGUUUCGACUCGUAAAGCUCUGUUGUCGGGGACGAAUGUCAGGACUCAGAAUAUGAGUUCUGAAUGACGGUACCUGACGAGGAAGCCACGGCUAACUACGUGCCAGCAGCCGCGGUAAUACGUAGGUGGCGAGCGUUGUCCGGAAUUAUUGGGCGUAAAGGGAGCGCAGGCGGGAAGGUAAGUCUAUCUUAAAAGUGCGGGGCUCAACCCCGUGAGGGGAUGGAAACUAUCUUUCUUGAGUGCAGGAGAGGAAAGCGGAAUUCCUAGUGUAGCGGUGAAAUGCGUAGAUAUUAGGAGGAACACCAGUGGCGAAGGCGGCUUUCUGGACUGUAACUGACGCUGAGGCUCGAAAGCGUGGGGAGCGAACAGGAUUAGAUACCCUGGUAGU
RNAcentral lists this ribosomal RNA (447 nucleotides) under uncultured Mitsuokella sp. RNAcentral describes it as "bacterial SSU rRNA". It matches the Rfam family "Bacterial small subunit ribosomal RNA", at positions 355 to 794 of the family's 1533-position model. The record is from RNAcentral. Lineage: Bacteria; Bacillati; Bacillota; Negativicutes; Selenomonadales; Selenomonadaceae.